UCCGGACAUAUCAAGUUGAAACACCGGUUUCCGAAGUUAAGCAAACUCAUGCGUGGUCAGUACCAAGAUGGGUGACCGCUUGGAAAUACUAGGUACUGUAAG
This is a non-coding RNA of Acanthosepion pharaonis, 102 nucleotides long. NCBI's taxonomy places the organism in Eukaryota, Metazoa, Mollusca, Cephalopoda, Sepiida, Sepiidae. The record is from the annotation of a GenBank genome assembly.